GCAUUCUAGGCAUGGGAAACAGCUAAUGCAAAAACAGAGACAAGUGAUGGAAUUUGGUAUUGGGACAGUGAAAAGAUUAAUUAUGUGACUCUAUAAAGUUCAGUGAGUGGAAUAAUUUAUACAAUGAAGCUGAAAAGGUAUGUUGGGGCCACAUUGUCAAAAUCCUCCAUCCUCAAAAAAGAGCCUUCUGGGCUAUGACAGAAGCCUUUCCAACCAGAUGUAGAUUUGCAGGUAGGUAGUGAUCAGAUCAAAGGCCCUUUAAUGCUAUCACAAACAUCUCUCCUACAGACUGUCCUGGCCCCCAGCCUAGCCACCUCCUCUCUGAUCAGGUCAUCAGCUGUUUUUUCUCAGCACCUUCCAUCUUUGGCUCGGUACCUGAAACAACCUCCAAAAUGACCUUCAGGCCCUUAUGACAUUUUUGUAAGCAACAGAGAGAAGAUUCCUCUCCUCAUUGGAUAAUCCUGCUCCUUGCUCACUUACAGACUUCAUGCAGGUUGCCAUGUUAUAUCUCUCAGCCUGCUCAGCCAAUUUGACCUUCUGCACCAGCUCAUUUUUAUCCAUGACUGAAUGUUCUGUGCCCAGAGUGAGCGGCAACUGAAGACAGAUGGACAGGGGAGGGGGCGCUUGAGUGAUCUCUGGGUGCCCACAGUGGCCAAACCUUCAAUUUCUUGAUGCUUGCAGCAGUACAACUGAAUGGGAUGUCCCAGUGAAGACUUCUCAGUGUAAUUAAGGUUUGGGAUAAGACUAUCCUAAAUCUGGUAAUAAGUUCAGGAGGUAGGAUAAGGGUUAAGUAUAAAUUUCUGUAAGUUCUUUUUUUUUAGUGCCAUGUAUCAGUAGUUAAAAUUUGUCUAGUUGUUAAGCCUUAGCCUACCUUUUAAUCUUAUUCAGAUGCACUUUUGCCCCUCCUCCUAAAAGAAUCUGGCUCCCGUUUGUCUACAGGCCCCAGAAAACCCUUAAACUUUCAGAUUCCUUAUCUACUCCCCUUAUCUUCCUUUGAAAGGACCUUACUCAGAUGCCUUCCAGUCCCCUCCAUUAUCUAUUCCCAUUGUCUGUUCAGUAUCUCUCAGAUCUCCCAAUACAUUUGUAAACUAUCUUUCUGUCAUGGUGGCCUGGCUCCACAGUACAAUGUCUAGCUUGACUGCACAUUUUUAAUUGCUUCUUGGACAUUAUCUCAACAAACUGAGAAAUACAGAGAGAUUGUGAGCUGAGUGACGGACAACUAGUCGGAGGGGGAAUUUACCCGUCAGGGUUAUUUAGCCUGGCUUUCUGCUUCUGUGUCUUGUCUCCCCUCAUCAGAGUAUACUGGUGGACGGACACCCAAAUCUCAAGAUUUGAAAUAAUAAUAAUAAUAAUAAUAAUAAUAAUAAUAAUAAUAAUAUAAUACAUUUACUUCCUU
RNAcentral lists this long non-coding RNA (1396 nucleotides) under Phascolarctos cinereus (koala). RNAcentral describes it as "lncRNA (ENSPCIG00000032770.1)". Lineage: Eukaryota; Metazoa; Chordata; Mammalia; Diprotodontia; Phascolarctidae. The record is from RNAcentral.